RNAcentral lists this ribosomal RNA (253 nucleotides) under uncultured bacterium. Its description in RNAcentral is "partial 16S ribosomal RNA". It matches the Rfam family "Bacterial small subunit ribosomal RNA", at positions 524 to 776 of the family's 1533-position model. The record is from RNAcentral.
UACGUAGGGUGCGGGCGUUGUCCGGAAUUACUGGGCGUAAAGAGCUCGUAGGUGGCUUGUCGCGUUGUUCGUGAAAACUCACAGCUCAACUGUGGGCGUGCGGGCGAUACGGGCAGACUGGAGUACUGCAGGGGAGACUGGAAUUCCUGGUGUAGCGGUGGAAUGCGCAGAUAUCAGGAGGAACACCGGUGGCGAAGGCGGGUCUCUGGGCAGUAACUGACGCUGAGGAGCGAAAGCGUGGGGAGCGAACAGG